GUGAGGAUAGUGGCAGAGAGAUAGGAGAAUGGAUUCAAAAUAUUGAGGAAAUGUCAUCAGCAGGAUUUUGUGUCUGAUCAGAAUGGGGUGGGGGAGGGAGUGAUUGGGUCCGUUCUGUGCUAAGUCACCCUGUUUCACUUUUCACCGACUGUAGGUUUUUGCCUUGCCUGCUCACAUCCUUGUCUCUGCCCUCAGGAAUCUUCCACUUGACUCAGAUCAAGAAAGUCAGGAAGCAAGACUUCCAGAAAGAGGCACAGCACUUCCGACUGCUCGCUGGCCCCCACGAAGGUCACUGGAACGUCUUCCUAGCCCAGACCCUGGAGCUGAAGGUCACGGCCAGUCCAGACAAAGUGACCAAGACAUAACAAAGACCUAACAGUUGCAGAUAUGAGCUGUAUAAUUGUUGUUAUUAUAUAUUAAUAAAUAAGAAGUUGCAUUACCCUCAGCCCUGCCUUCUGGGUUCAUAUCCAGUCUCCUGCAUGCUCUCCUAGCAACUCCACAAGGCAGACCUGGUUAUCCCCAUUUUACAGGGGUGGAAACCAAGAUCCAGAAGGGAUAGAGAAUGGUCCCAGUCCUCACAGUGAGUUGUCACCACAGCCAGGGCUAGCUCCCCCAGCCUCCUCACCCAGGCCCCCCACUGCAGCACCUCCUGCUUUUCCGGGCAGCCCCCCUCCCACAGCUCUUUGACACUGAGCCUCAGAAAGAGGAAUGACUCUAAUUAGCCAGGGGAGGGCGUUAAUGGAGCCUUAAAGCACUUUCCCAGCAAGUAUUCCUGGGAUCCUCACCACUGUCUUCACACCCUACAAUGAGGAAACCCAGUUAGGGAGGAGCAGCAGGCAGUCAUUUGCCCAAAGCCGCAGAGCUGCUUAGUAGCAGAUCUGGAGUUGGAAGCCAGAUCUCUCGCUCCAGGCUAGCACUCCUUCCCCAGUUCCACAGUGUGGCCAGUGUCACGAGCCCAGAUAGCCUCACCUCAGAGGAUUUCCAAGACUGGGCGGUCAGAUUGCUAACCUGGCACCAUGCUCUGAGAAGGCCCAACAGUUAGCAAUUAAAGACACCAUUAGGGCCAGGCACGGUGGCUGACGCCUACAAUCCCAGCACUUUGGGAGGCCGAGGGGGGUGGAUCGUCUGAGGCCAGGAGUUCGAGACCAGCCUGGCCAACAUAGUGAAACCCCAUUUCUACUAAAAAUACAAAAAAUUAGCCAGGCAUGGUGGUACACACCUGUAAUUCCAGCUACUCGGGAAGUUGAGGCACGAGGAUUGCUUGAACCCAGGAGGCAGAGGU
Molecule: long non-coding RNA, 1282 nt
Filed under: Homo sapiens (human)
Lineage: Eukaryota; Metazoa; Chordata; Mammalia; Primates; Hominidae
Description: HSALNT0178244
Source: RNAcentral